CAAGGAUCCACUUGACCCUCCACAAUGACAGACUGCUCAUGAUAGAGUAUGGGGUAUGGGUUGUUGGUUCGAUCCCUGGCUCCUCCAUUCCUCAAGACAGUGACUUAUCUGUGGCCCGAUGUUCCAGCUUUUCUGGUGUGGCGUUCACCUUAAACCUGGCUGGCUGGAGGACCACACCGAACUUGCCUUCCAGACUGGGCAGAGAGUGGCCUGAUGGGACAGAGAGGGUGAAGUGCUGUAGGAUCCAAGAAAGGAAGAGGAAGAGCUCCAUCUUGGCCAAGGCCUCACCCAGACAGACUCUGACCCCUGCACCAAAUGGCAGGUAGCUGGACGACGGAAUGAUCAGACCUGUGCCUUCAUUGUUUAAGAACCGAACUGCAAAGGGAGAAUUCUGGGAUUAGAAUCAACAUUACUCAUACCAACAGCAGUGUUUGAUGUUCUUGGGUGAUCAUAUUUUGGGUAUUUGUAAGAAAUACUUAAUUGUCUAAGAAUCAUGCAACCAUGCCAUCUUGCAGGGCCAUUUAUUAAAAGUCAUCUAGGUAUUCAUA
Molecule: long non-coding RNA, 548 nt
Organism: Platichthys flesus (European flounder)
Lineage: Eukaryota; Metazoa; Chordata; Actinopteri; Pleuronectiformes; Pleuronectidae
Exons: 2
Source: RefSeq, a predicted model, not a curated record